AGAAGCCCAGACAUUUCCAUGCUGCUUUACAGUCACAGAUGGCUUCCCUGCCCAGGGCUGGCUGCUUCUAAUUUCGGCUGCCGGAGGCUCCUUGCUCGCUCACUCGCUCUCUUUUUUUAAUUCCAUGUUUAUUUAAAGCCAGAUUUUGAAAUGUUGUCUUCAACCCUAAAAUCUGACUUUUUCUUCUUGCAAUAGAUCCUAAAACCCUCUUAGCACCCCAGAGGGUGGGGGAACUUUUGAAGAAUGAUCCAACUGCCCCCUUGUACCACACUAUAAAUGAGGAGAGAUGGUGUGGGUAACUCCAGUGAAGUGCAAGAAGCACCCCGUGCCUACUGCUGGCUGUCUGGUCUGUCCUGUCCUGUCAUCUCCUGUCACAGUCAUGGUGCAGUAGGGCCAGGCACGGCCCAGGCAUGUCACUCCUGGAGCAGGCUCCUCCUCCUCCUCACAAAGCUGGAAGAGACAGAUCUUUUUAGAGGUUCAUGGAAAACUUCAGCUGUUCCCUAGCUGUCCAGAUGAAAAGCAUAUUCCACCCCAGGGGGAAAACAGCACCUCUGAAUGAAUUCGGACAACAUUUUACCCUCAAGUUACGGGAGGUCCACUUGGUGUGACCUUUGCAAACGUCUCUCUGCUGCCAGCUGAAAGAAGAAUACUGCAAGGUUUGGCAGCUCGCCCCUGGAGUCUGCUGUUAGUUCUCACCCAGAUUUGGAGAUUUUUCCUUGUGGCUGCAGGAGCCAACAGAGUCCUUUGUGCCCCAGGACUCAGAGCCCCAGAGCCCUGUUGUAAUUUCCCUUCCUUCUUCGGUUCCUAGAGUUCCCACAGGAAAACCCUGUGCUCUCGAUUCGGCAUCAGGAACAUAGAAGCCAAGGCUGCGGCAGGGACACAAGCUUGCUACUACAGGGCCUUAGUGCCACCUUCAAGGGAAGUGUUUCCUUGUGGUUGGGGCAGGUCUGGUUCUCUGAGUGGCUGUUGUCCCAGGAGGAGAGCCCGAGGGUGCUUGUGCUGGAAGGGACCCACCCUGGGGCUUCCAGCCUAGGUGUGGGACCCAGCAUCAGUGCAUUUGGGUUUKAGAAUAGGCUUUGCUUGGUGGGAGACCCAGCUUUAGCCUCAUGGCCCCUCACCUGGCAUCAGUCCUGCCACUCUGCCCACCCCUGGCCCUGACUGGGAGGGGUGGUGAGCUUAACACUACACUGCCACCUGGUGGACAGCCAGAAAAAGGCGCUGUGGGGUACCAGCCCCAGAGUGGUGGGACAGGUGCUGUUAAGGACAAAGCGRGAGGCCACAGACUUGUGUGGGCAAGUGCAGGUGCRGAGCAGGUGUACUUGGUUUGUAGGACCAGGCUGGAAUCUGGACUCUGCUUCUGGAAAGUGCACCCUUCAAGCUGGCCUUUUCAGRAGGGAAGAGUAACACACUCCCCUAGGGCCCAAGAGGAGACAGUGUGAGUUAUGGUUCUGCCACGGAGCAGUGGAGUGAUUAGCCUGGACCUGCAAAAGGAAUGUCUGGGGAU
RNAcentral lists this long non-coding RNA (1504 nucleotides) under Urocitellus parryii (Arctic ground squirrel). RNAcentral's name for it is "lncRNA (ENSUPAG00010019195.1)". The record is from RNAcentral. Lineage: Eukaryota; Metazoa; Chordata; Mammalia; Rodentia; Sciuridae.